UUUCUCCAGUGAGGGGGCGAAUUUGGCAAAUUACUCUACUGCACUUAUAUUAUUACACUGGUUAGCUAUUAACUGCGAGCACACAGAGUGUCAAUCAAUGCAUUGAAGAAUACGGCGAACAUAAAUAAAGAAACGAAGUUGUCAGAUUUCCCUAACAAGCAACCAUAUUUUUUUAAAUAAGCCCAAAAAAACGCAAACCGCGACCAGGAAUUUUUUCACGCAACUUUACAAAGAAAGAAAAGUGAGACCCUGCCAUGUACCCUGCCCUCUUCAUACAGGCUGUCAUGAUGUCAUCUCAGAAGAAUUUCAGCCACUAUGAGCCAGUCCCACAAUGAGCUUUCCUUAGGACGUGCCAUUCUGUGUCUGUAGCUUUAAAUGCUAAUGAGGAGGAGAGAGGCGGUGCAAGGUGGAGAGUGGGGGUGUGGCCUUAACCAGCUUGCGCUACCAUGCGCUAAUGUUGACAGUGGAUGUAUCGCAGUGGCUCAUAGACACGCAGUCGUUCAAGUUUUUCAGUUUGACCCAGAAUCUGAUCCGGAUGGAGAAGCACCGGAUGAAGAAGUUGCAACUCAGCGGCUACAGCAGGACGUCUCCGAAUGGCAGCGGAAGAACAACUUGGGGCACCUCCUGAAGAUGGAGACAGUGACUGACACACGCACACACACACUAAAUAUAUAAUUACUGUAAAUUAUGUUCUUGUUACUGUUUCCAUUAUUAGGACACAUUUUGAUGCUUUACUGUGGAAAUUGUCAUGGCAAUAAAGCCAAUUUGAACUGAAUUGAUUUGACUGAGUUCCCCCCUCUCUAUCUCCACCACCCUUCCUGUGCAUGACCAUAUUUAACGUUUAUAAUCUGUUUUUGUUCACAAAAUAAAUGAAUGCUUUCCUGCUUUGUAUUUUAUGUUUGAAUGUGUUAAGCAUGAACACAGUGCCUUAAGGUUCUGCAGACCAAGAACCGGUUUGAAAGGUCUGAUCCCCUAUAGUUUCCUGUAAUGCGUUACUAAAUCUUAGUAACUAAAGGAAGUAACUAAAUAGGACCAAAACAACAACAACAACAUUGUAGGUUUGUCCUGCAAAGGUUGAAUGUAGUAUAGAGACCAAUAGGGAACGUCCUAUAGUAAUGGUCCCCUUAACGUUCCCAAAACAUCCUGAAUGUUCUGUGAAGGUCCUCCAAAUAACGUCCCCCAACCCUUUAAAGAACUCGACAUCGUGACCGUCUCAGAACUUUCUGGGGACGUUACUAGAUGACGUCCUUGACACCAGCGGGGACGUUCUGAGGACAUUCUGGGAACGUAAAAUUUCUAGUAGGGAAACUCAAGUCUGUUAGAAAGCACUUCAUGUGUACGUGCUCAGAAGCACGUCAAAACAGCACAUUAAUUAAACGUUUAACCGCAAGGCUUUAAAGCACAUGCAGAUAAUGCACUUUUGUGAUUGCGCAUAAGUGCUGUGUCCCAUAAGUGUAACUCUACUGCCGAGAUAACAUUUGAUGUGAAUGUAUGUCGCAUUGUACAGUAUAUAUAUGAUACUACGAUAUUUCUUGAACUUGCACCAAUUAGCUCGCUCUGAAGAAGCACCUGGGCACACUUCAGCAGUCGGCACAAGAAUGACGCAAUAUGGCGAGAGCAUGAGAGAAAGGGAUGCCAGCUAGAGACGCGAGCCCCAUGAUCUUAACAUGGACUAUUUUACCGAUGUCCUUACUAUGUAAAUAAAUAAAAAGAAAACAGAUAGAAUAGAGCAAGGUAGUGUUAUAGUCCUUUUUUUGCUUUUGUUAAUUGCAUCGUAAAUAAAAAGAAAACAAAUAGAUAGAAUACAAAAAGCAAGUGUUAGUUUCUUUUUUUUUUUUUUUAAGAAUAGAAUGUGCUAGAGUUAGAUGGUCAAAUAAAGAUGGAAGAGAUAUGUUUUAGCCGAUUCUUGAAGAUGGCUAAGGACCACCUCUUUGGGAUGGCACAAUAAAGUGACGUUCACUUGCAGAACGCAAGUUUCUAGAGGGCACAUAAGUCUGAAGUAAUGAAUUUAGGUAAAGGGGUGCAGAGCCAGUGGUGGUUUUGUUGGCAAACAUUAAUUCCUUGAAUUUUAUGUGAGCAGAUAUUCUUAGUCAGUGCAAAUUGAUAAACAGAGGUGUGACAUGCAUUCUUUUUGACUCAUUAAAAACUUAUCUUGCUGCGGUGUUUUGGAUUAAUAGUAAAGGUUUGAUAGAACUGGCUGGAAGACCUGUCAAGAGAACAUUGCAAUAGUCCAGCCUGGACAGAACAAGAACUUGAACAAGGGAGUUGUGAAGCAUGUUCUCCUGAUCUUAUUGAUGUUGAAUAAAGCAAAUCUGCAGGACCGGGCAGUUUUAGCAGUGUGGUCUGAGAAAGUCAGCCGAUCAAUCAUAACUCCAAGGUUUCUGGCUGUUUUUGAAGGAGUUAUGAUUGAUGUGCCUAACUGGAUGGUGAAAUUGUGAUGAAACGAUGGGUUUGAUGAAACCACAAGCAGUUCUGUCUUGGCAGUGCUGAGUUGAAGGUGAUGGUCCUUCAUCCAGCAAGAAAUGUCUGUUAGACAAGCUGAGAUGCGAGUAGCUAUCGUCGGAUCAUCAGGAUGGAAUGAGAGGUAGAGUUGAGUGUCAUCAGCAUAGCAGUGGUAUGAAAAGCCAUGUUUCUGAAUGACAGAACCUAGUGAUGCUAUGUAGACAGAGAAGAGAAGUGGUCCAAGAACUGAGCCCUGAGUCACCCCAGUAGUUAGAUGUUGUGACUUGGACACCUCACCUCUCCAAUAUACCUUGAAGGACCUAUCGGAGAGGUAAAACCACUGGAGUGCAGUU
Long non-coding RNA from Onychostoma macrolepis, 2795 nucleotides. RefSeq lists it as uncharacterized. The record is from RefSeq and is a predicted model, not a curated record. NCBI's taxonomy places the organism in Eukaryota, Metazoa, Chordata, Actinopteri, Cypriniformes, Cyprinidae. The transcript is spliced from 4 exons.